UCUUAAGCUAAACUGCUUACAUUUGGCCUUCCAGUCUCAAGAGGGAAGAUAUUCCUGCCCGUAGUGACUGCAAAAUGGACCAAUAAAUACAGCCGUUAAACAUACCCAUACGUGGUUAGUCUAAUUAGCUCGAUCCACCAUAAUCACAUAGUGGAAUAGCUACAGUGGCCAUAACGAAUGCCGGCGAACAACAUCAAUACCUAAUCCCCAGCAGUCUUCGUUCGUUCUUCCGUCCAAAUCGCCAUGCACCGAAUUCCCACUAGUUCUACAGAGGGACUGGCUGAGCUCGUACCACAACCCUUGCACCGAAUUCCUAUUAGUUCUACAGACGGAAGGUACAUCAUUCAACGAACUUCCUGUGCUAUUCUCUAACCCAUUACUCUGCCA
This 387-nucleotide long non-coding RNA is filed under the name Phoenix dactylifera (date palm). RNAcentral's name for it is "long non-coding RNA (PDAC_LNC017642)". Lineage: Eukaryota; Viridiplantae; Streptophyta; Magnoliopsida; Arecales; Arecaceae. The record is from RNAcentral.